GACAGAGGGUGCAAACGUUGUUCGGAAUUACUGGGCAUAAAGCGCGUGUAGGCUGCUCGGAAAGUCGGAUGUGAAAGCCCUGGGCUUAACCUAGGAAGUGCAUUCGAAACUUCCGAGCUGGAGUUCUGGAGAGGAAGGCGGAAUUCUCGGUGUAGAGGUGAAAUUCGUAGAUAUCGAGAGGAACACCGGUGGCGAAGGCGGCCUUCUGGACAGUGACUGACGCUGAGACGCGAAAAGCGUGGGGAGCAAACAGG
Molecule: ribosomal RNA, 254 nt
Filed under: uncultured bacterium
Lineage: Bacteria
Description: partial 16S ribosomal RNA
Rfam family: Bacterial small subunit ribosomal RNA
Source: RNAcentral